This 428-nucleotide ribosomal RNA is filed under the name Verrucomicrobiota bacterium. RNAcentral's name for it is "Verrucomicrobia bacterium partial 16S ribosomal RNA". It matches the Rfam family "Bacterial small subunit ribosomal RNA", at positions 355 to 776 of the family's 1533-position model. Lineage: Bacteria; Pseudomonadati; Verrucomicrobiota. The record is from RNAcentral.
UAGGGAAUCUUCCGCAAUGGACGAAAGUCUGACGGAGCAACGCCGCGUGAGUGAAGAAGGAUUUCGGUUCGUAAAACUCUGUUGUUAGGGAAGAAAAAAUGUAUAGUAACUAUAUACAAAAGAGACGGUACCUAACCAGAAAGCCACGGCUAACUACGUGCCAGCAGCCGCGGUAAUACGUAGGUGGCAAGUGUUGUCCGGAUUUAUUGGGCGUAAAGCGAGCGCAGGCGGUUAGAAAAGUCUGAAGUGAAAGGCAGUGGCUCAACCAUUGUAGGCUUUGGAAACUGUUUAACUUGAGUGCAGAAGGGGAGAGUGGAAUUCCAUGUGUAGCGGUGAAAUGCGUAGAUAUAUGGAGGAACACCGGUGGCGAAAGCGGCUCUCUGGUCUGUAACUGACGCUGAGGCUCGAAAGCGUGGGGAGCGAACAGG